This 648-nucleotide ribosomal RNA is filed under the name uncultured Lachnospiraceae bacterium. Its description in RNAcentral is "bacterial SSU rRNA". It matches the Rfam family "Bacterial small subunit ribosomal RNA", at positions 63 to 726 of the family's 1533-position model. The record is from RNAcentral. Lineage: Bacteria; Bacillati; Bacillota; Clostridia; Lachnospirales; Lachnospiraceae.
UUUAUUGAAACUUCGGUCGAUUUAAUUUAAUUCUAGUGGCGGACGGGUGAGUAACGCGUGGGUAACCUGCCUUAUACAGGGGGAUAACAGUCAGAAAUGGCUGCUAAUACCGCAUAAGCGCACAGAGCUGCAUGGCUCAGUGUGAAAAACUCCGGUGGUAUAAGAUGGACCCGCGUUGGAUUAGCUAGUUGGUGGGGUAACGGCUCACCAAGGCGACGAUCCAUAGCCGGCCUGAGAGGGUGAACGGCCACAUUGGGACUGAGACACGGCCCAGACUCCUACGGGAGGCAGCAGUGGGGAAUAUUGCACAAUGGGGGAAACCCUGAUGCAGCGACGCCGCGUGAAGGAAGAAGUAUCUCGGUAUGUAAACUUCUAUCAGCAGGGAAGAUAGUGACGGUACCUGACUAAGAAGCCCCGGCUAACUACGUGCCAGCAGCCGCGGUAAUACGUAGGGGGCAAGCGUUAUCCGGAUUUACUGGGUGUAAAGGGAGCGUAGACGGUGUGGCAAGUCUGAUGUGAAAGGCAUGGGCUCAACCUGUGGACUGCAUUGGAAACUGUCAUACUUGAGUGCCGGAGGGGUAAGCGGAAUUCCUAGUGUAGCGGUGAAAUGCGUAGAUAUUAGGAGGAACACCAGUGGCGAAGGCGGCU